CGCCGCGUGAGUGAAGAAGGCUUUCGGGUCGUAAAACUCUGUUGUUGGAGAAGAAUGGUCGGCAGAGUAACUGUUGUCGGCGUGACGGUAUCCAACCAGAAAGCCACGGCUAACUACGUGCCAGCAGCCGCGGUAAUACGUAGGUGGCAAGCGUUAUCCGGAUUUAUUGGGCGUAAAGCGAGCGCAGGCGGUUUUUUAAGUCUGAUGUGAAAGCCCUCGGCUUAACCGAGGAAGUGCAUCGGAAACUGGGAAACUUGAGUGCAGAAGAGGACAGUGGAACUCCAUGUGUAGCGGUGAAAUGCGUAGAUAUAUGGAAGAACACCAGUGGCGAAGGCGGCUGUCUGGUCUGUAACUGACGCUGAGGCUCGAAAGCAUGGGUAGCGAACAGGAUUAGAUACCCUGGUAGUCCAUGCCGUAAACGAUGAAUGCUAGGUGUUGGAGGGUUUCCGCCCUUCAGUGCCGCAGCUAACGCAUUAAGCAUUCCGCCUGGGGAGUACGACCGCAAGGUUGAAACUCAAAGGAAUUGACGGGGGCCCGCACAAGCGGUGGAGCAUGUGGUUUAAUUCGAAGCAACGCGAAGAACCUUACCAGGUCUUGACAUCUUUUGAUCACCUGA
Molecule: ribosomal RNA, 616 nt
Filed under: bacterium
Lineage: Bacteria
Description: bacterial SSU rRNA
Rfam family: Bacterial small subunit ribosomal RNA
Source: RNAcentral